AAAGGUUUGGUCCUGGCCUUUCUAUUAACCCUUAGUAGGAUUACACAUGCAAGUGUCCGCGCUCCGGUGAAAAUGCCCUUCAAGUCAUUAUAGAUCUAAAGGAGCAGGUAUCAAGCACACUACAUUAGUAGCUCACGACGCCUUGCCUAGCCACACCCCCACGGGAUACAGCAGUGAUAAAAAUUAAGCCAUGAACGAAAGUUUGACUAAGCCAUACUAACUUUAGGGUUGGUAAAUUUCGUGCCAGCCACCGCGGUCAUACGAUUAACCCAAGUUAAUAGACAUACGGCGUAAAGCGUGUUAAGGAAUUUUACCCACUAAUAAAGAUAAAUCCAGGCUAUGCCGUAGAAAGCUCUAGCUUAGAUAAAAAUAACCCACGAAAGUGACUUUAAACAAUCCGACACACGAUAGCUAAGACACAAACUGGGAUUAGAUACCCCACUAUGCUUAGCCCUAAACCAAAGUAGUUAUCAUAACAAUACUAUUCGCCAGAGUACUACUAGCAACAGCUUAAAACUCAAAGGACUUGGCGGUGCUUUAUAUCCCUCUAGAGGAGCCUGUUCUGUAAUCGAUAAACCCCGAUAAACCUCACCAACCCUUGCUAAUACAGCCUAUAUACCGCCAUCUUCAGCAAACCCUAAAAAGGAAGCACAGUAAGCGCAAACACAAAACAUAAAAACGUUAGGUCAAGGUGUAGCCUAUGAGUUGGAAAGAAAUGGGCUACAUUUUCUAACAUAGAAUAUUAACGAAAAUUUUCGUGAAACCGAAAAUGGAAGGAGGAUUUAGUAGUAAAUUAAGAAUAGAGAGCUUAAUUGAAUAAGGCCAUGAAGCACGCACACACCGCCCGUCACCCUCCUCAAGUAUCAAAGUAUGACCAACCAACCCUAUUAACGAACAUACACCCAUACAAGAGGAGAUAAGUCGUAACAAGGUAAGCGUACCGGAAGGUGCGCUUGGACAAA
Molecule: non-coding RNA, 962 nt
Filed under: Eonycteris robusta (Phillipine dawn bat)
Lineage: Eukaryota; Metazoa; Chordata; Mammalia; Chiroptera; Pteropodidae
Description: partial 12S ribosomal RNA
Rfam family: Bacterial small subunit ribosomal RNA
Source: RNAcentral